This 3776-nucleotide small RNA is filed under the name Rattus norvegicus (Norway rat). RNAcentral's name for it is "uncharacterized LOC103691752". Lineage: Eukaryota; Metazoa; Chordata; Mammalia; Rodentia; Muridae. The record is from RNAcentral.
CCACCACCACCACCACCACCACCACCACCACCACCAUCACCAUCAUCGUCAGAGUGUGGAUCUCUCUUUAGGACAGGGACAUAUGUGGGCUCCUAGCCAAGAGAACUUGGAUUCCUUCUGCAGGAGAAAACUGGCUGCUUCACAGCUGUUGCCUCCUGCUCUGGAGAAGGCUGAGGGUCGAGCUGGCUGCAGGGAUUCAUCUCCCAGGAGGGACAAGAGCCCCAGCUAUAUCCCACCCCGUGAGGAUGGCAACGGGGUCAACUGUGCCCUUUGCUGGCCAUCGUACGUAAGAGCUGGGCAUGUUGUUUACAGAAAGAGGUCCAGGCUAGGCCAGCAGCUAGGCUGUACUGAGUCAUUCAGAAAGUGGACACUGAUGGCCGCCAUGUGCCAGGCCUGGGCAUGUGAGAAACAGCAGUCCAUUCAUUUGCUUGUUCAUUCACUCUCUUAACAAUUGGCCACUGAGUUCAAGGCCAGUGUUCAGAGGUCAGGUCUGACUCCUCCGUUGGCAGAAGAUUCUCCCAACGCUGUUUCCCUUCACCACAGGAGAGAUGCAUCCUGAGGCCUUGGUCCUGCCUCCUGCUCCUUACCCUUAUUCCACGGCUCCUGGAGGACGUGGCGGCUAAGUGUGGUAUAGCACGAGAACACCUGUCUGCCAUCUUGUCUCCGGCAGGACUGUCCAGGACAGAGACAGCCAUCUGGGCUUCUAGCCACGGAAACAUCUAGAAGGACCUGCACACUCACGGCUCACACUGACACACCUGUGCACUAACAAACACUAACAGAUACAUGCCUGGCUGCUGGGAGGCAUGGGGGUGGGCUAGAAGUGUCAGCCUAGGCUGCAGCUGCUGUGGCCGGGGCUACCAGAGAGAAUGGCGUCCAGGGACGGACGCCCUGUGUAUUACAGAGCCAGGAAAACAGACAGGCUUAUCACAGCACAAUUCAAAAAACACACAAAUAAUUCAUCUUGCUAUGAUGUCAUAGUGCUGUAAAUAAUGAAUUUUCACUAAUGCCGGACUUCCUCACCCCACAGGCAGGCAGUGGGGGCAGAGCAAAGCCUGGAACAGCGGGGACUGGAAGAAACAAACUUGGAACUUCCACACUGGUGUCAUUUAAGUAACAACCACGUUGCUCAGGAGCUCCGAGGCCUCUCUUAUCUCCCUGGGGUCCAUCCUUGGCUGUACCCAAGUGUAUGAGCACAGCAAGCUCACCACUCACUCACCACAGCACCCACCUGAAGCCUAGCAGACUGCUUCAGCCUGGUCCCCACAGGGCAGGAUGCAUAACCACGCCCCUGAUGGCAUCCCUCCAAACAGCACCAGCUACCUGGCAGGUCCCACCUCUUGGUGCCACUACCAGAGCCUGGACUUGAUUGAUCUCCGUAUGAAUAUUCAUGCAGCAUCCAGCAGUCUGUCAUCAAUAUUCCAGGAAAGGGAAAACUCCUCAUGUAAGGAGUUGGGGGAGGUCAACCUGUAGCUUGUGACUACUGCAUCUACCUAUGGGCUUCCAAGCUUGACAAGAUGUCCACUCUGUCCCCACUCCCACCCCCAUCCCAUUCUCUGACAGAUGACCCCUCAACGUUCCUGCCUACCUUACAGGCCAUGCCCUCCUCACCAAUCCUGUUCUCUCCUUCAGCUUUGGGCCUGCCUCACCCCACCCUGCCCGAAAUAUUUACCUACAGCCACGGUCCCAUCGUAACAAGAUACCAAGGGCUGUGUACCAACUCAGCAAGCUUGUUUACAGGCCCCACGUUCUCAAGUAGCUCACACAGCCUGCCCCUGGUCAGUGGUUUCCACAGACUCCCCUGUCCUGCCCAGGGUCCACAGUUAGAUACACCCCAAGCCUGGAGUAACAUCAACUCUAAGCCAGACCUCCAAGGAAGAGGGUAUCUGCUUCAUUCCCUGCUGUCCCUGUUGCUGUAGGAGCCCCCCAGGCCCCAGGCCCCAGAGGUCGUGGGCUGGCUCAGGGUGGGAUGCAGCUUAGUUAUAACCCGUCCUGGGAGAUGGUCACAGCUGGCCCCACCAGAGAGAGAUGAGAACUCUGCCUCAGACCUUGGCUUCUGGAAGAAUGGUUGUAUCUGGGGGAGUCAGCUGUUUUGGGAUGAGAUUUCCUAGGGCUGACACAGUACCAGAGUCCUCAAAACACAGCUCAGCAGCACCACACUCGGUGCUUCCCCACUGAGUCCACCGGCACCCUCCUAUGGCUGCUCUUCCGCAGGAGACUACCCAAGCAGUGCAGGGGUGGGGAUGGGGUGGAGUAGCGGGCCUGGCAGGGAAGGGUCACCUGGCAGCCUGUGCCCUUCAGUCUGCCACCCCACCCCCAGGCGCAGUGCGGGCCACACAACUCUGCCUGAGGCCCCAUGUGACACAGCUGCCAACAGGCCUGGGCAAGCAGCCUGGCGGGGUGGGGGAGGGGCACUGGGCUCCAGAUCGCUGAAUCAGCUGCUCUGGACCGUCCCUCCCUGGGCUAGGCUGCUGCCUGGGGGGCAGCUCCCUCUUUUGGGAACUGUUGGGGAGGCAAGCCUGAAUGCUGGGAUUUCCGGAAAAUCUCCCUUGCUUGCUUCAGCCUGGGACUGCUGCUUCCUGGGAGCCAGUGUCUCUAGGGGAGGGAAGGCUUCCUAAGAGGGCCAGGCAGAAGGGGACCCUUCUUUCUAAACAAGACCAAAAACGGAGAAGAGAAAGGCACCCUGCUGCUGUGAAUCUAGCACUCCCCCCCCCCCCCGAAAACGCUGAAUCAGCAUGUGAAGGCGCCGGCUCCCUCCCCUCCCCCUCACACGCUGGCAGGGACUGGGCCUUCCCAAGGUCAGGGGACAUCAAUAACCGCAGCUGAGUCUGUGGCUGCACAGGUCUGUGCUCUGGGUUGCCCCUGCCAUCCUCGGGAGUAGGGACCAUCUGGCUCUCUUCCUCACACUACCCUGGGAAGGUCACAGGUACUAUGUUUGUUUGGGUCUUCACCAGGGACUGCAGAAGCUGCUACUUGGUACAGGGGCAGCAAAUGGGUGUUCAGAGCCAUGAGUUCAUCCCAAGCCUGGGGCCCUGCAGCACCUGCCCUUUUCCCCAGGGUUGUAGGUAGCAGUGACCCGGUCCCUGUACCUCACAUGGGCCAGGGAGAACCUGAGUCAUGGCCAGACAGCACUGCUUCAGACUUUCCGUCUGUGCUGCCCACACCUGGCGGCCUGCUCACCUCCACUCCUUCCUUCCUGGUCCUAGCUCCUAACCAUCUUGCCUAGGGAGUAGUGCCAAGUCUUCAUGGGCACAGUCCCCUCUCUUCAGAUGCCCCUUUCUUGUGGUGAUGGUGAGGUGUAGGCCCUUCCUCCAGGAAGACCCAGAACCCAGCUCUGGUCUCUCAAGUUAACAUGUAGCCCCUGACACUGCACCCUAAGCACUCUACUGGGUCCCCUGAGCCAGCUCUGCAAACCUCAGAACAGUGCCAGCCGGCGGCCAGAUUCCUGGUCCUCCUUCCUGCCUCCCUCCCACCCACUGGGUCACAGGCAGCCCCCUGACUACUCUUCUUCGAAGUCAGUUCACAAGGCUAGCCUGAAAGCUGUCUGUUGCCUUUUCUACCUCAUGAACGUCAGGGGCCUAGGGCUCAGCAGCUGACCAGAUGGGCGGCUUUAUCACUGUGGAUCCUGUUUCGUAUCCAGCCACCGAGGCCUUCUGUCCACAGGUACAUCCUGUCUGUGCCAGGUCUGGUCCCCUGCCCUGCCCUUCAGCGGUGAGCUCAGUCCCAUUUUUAUACUCCUAUGUGCUGCCUUAAUAAACAAACAAAAAUGCUUGAAA